UCCCGCGAAAACGAAAAUGCCUCCUCCCUCCUCCGCCCCGCGCUUCGCCUCGCCUCGCCUCGAUCCCCCAUGGACGCCGGCGACCCCCUUCCCCGCAAGCGACACCUCAGCCCCCGACCCCGACCCCUCGCCGCCGGCCUCCUCGGAUGGGAUCAGCUCCGGCGAGAACGCGGUGGCGGGGAGGACGGGGUUCGGUAGCCCCAGCCCCGCCGCCGACUCCUCGUUGCCGACGCCGCCGCCGACUCCGACUCGGUUCCUGCGGCGAGGAGGCCUAGCCGCCGCCGCAUCGCCCCCACCGAGAUUACUCAUCUUGUACAGGUGAAACUUCAAGUGAAACUGAAAGCACUUCCUCUGCAAGUGAAACAAAUCUGGUCAUUGUCGCAUUGAAUAGUAUUUGGUUGAAUAUGAGAGAGCUUAAUGCUAUAAAGGUGUCCAAGAAAGAUAAGCGCUUUGAAAAAUUUUAAUAGAAAGAAAGAGAUUGGAACAGGGAAAUAAGAGUUAGAAUUUCAGGAAGAUUUAAUAGAAAGAAAGAGAUUGAAGUUGCAAUUCCAGAUGGAGAGAGGAGAGAAUUAUGAACGUGGACCUUAAUGGUAUGACUGGGCAACAAAAAGAAUAAAUCUCGAUCUUGCAGACUGAGAUCAUAGCUCGAUGAUCAGUUUGAGCUGCACUACUUGUUUGCCUGCUUAUCAUAUGAAUUAUUCGUACAAGCUACUUGUGUGAACUGGUUGCUGCAUGACCUACUUACUUAUGAACUCCUGUUUGUUAUAUAUGAACCAUGUGUGACAUGCAAUUUUUCCACUUCCCAAUGUAUGCAACCUAUGCUUCCUAGUAUUUCGGGAAAACCUGUACUCUCUAAUUACAGGUAAUCCAGCAGUAUCAUAAUUAUCAUAAUCUCAGACAAUUGUGUUUGAUGUGUGUUGUGUGGUAUAUUUUGUUGUUUCUCUGAUACGAUAUUUUUUUCGCUGCUUAUGAAAAUAUAGUUCAACUAGGGGUACCCAUAUAUUCGGUUCAGUUCACUCCCAUCUCUACUUGCAAUAAUUUUGAACUUGUACCUGAUACCAGCUUUACUCACCUUCUGUUGUUACUUCUUAGACGGGCUUGCAGUACUGUGUUUGUUCACCUUUGUUUUGGUACACGUUGUGUGAUCUUGCUCCCAGAAAACAAUUGCUUUGAUGCUGAUCUGUAUGUCUCUUGAAGCCAGCUGAGAACAGAGAUGGAAGAGGUGCACAGCAAAAUUCCUACUGCAAGUUUGCAACACCCUGAAAAACUACCGUCCAAGCAAGAAUGGCAUUUUGUCUGACUGGCGCGUGAAUGGCAUGUAACUUCACCUGUAAUUUUCAUAAUCUGCCCAUGCCUUGGACCCAGCUGUUCGUUCUCUGAAGACUGAAGCUACUAUGCUUUUCUUCACUCCUGAAAAAUCUUUGAAGUGAUCUGAUGGCACAAUUGAAGCAAGCUGACCACCCCCCCAAGCGCUCUUACAAUGCCAUCAUCAUUCAGCCUUGAUUUGUGCCCAUGCAUAAUGCCAUCACCAACACGGAUCUGAAAUCUGAUCUGAUCCAGAGAGUGAGUGAGAGAGAGGAUAGGCUGUGGGGGCCUUCCUCUCUCUCUCUCUCCCCUCUGCAUGCAGGCUGCAGUGCAAGGCUGCCAUGAAACAGGGAAAGAAUUGAGGUGAGCCCCUGCCAGCCAUGGGGCCAGUGAGUCAAGGCGGCUAUGAUCGGGUGGCUGGGUGAGGUGAGGUGACCGCCAUUUUUCUUCCAUCCAUCCAGGGCAAACGAGGGGGAGCAGAGGUGCGCCUUUGGGGAAAGAUGGACAGUAGAUUUGCACGGGGCAAAAGCUCCUCCUCCUCCCCCCCUCCCUCGGGGUUCUUUUUCUUUCAGCUAUGGGUGGGGUUUCGACGAGAUGAUGGUCGCCGUGAUGGUGGUAGAGGUAAUGGCUACAAUAUCGCCAAUCUAAGGUUGUUAUCUGGAAUAUGGUAUGGCGUAUGUUUUCUCUCAAUUUCGUUGUAGACGGGUAAACAAGUAACAAUUCGAUGGUUAUAUAUUGUCAUAGGAACAUGUAGCUAGCUCAAUCAUACUCCCAACAUUUUUGUUAUUCGA
Molecule: RNA transcript, 2096 nt
Organism: Oryza brachyantha (malo sina)
Lineage: Eukaryota; Viridiplantae; Streptophyta; Magnoliopsida; Poales; Poaceae
Gene name: vegetative cell wall protein gp1-like
Exons: 4
Source: RefSeq, a predicted model, not a curated record